Non-coding RNA from Triticum aestivum (bread wheat), 115 nucleotides. Lineage: Eukaryota; Viridiplantae; Streptophyta; Magnoliopsida; Poales; Poaceae. The record is from Rfam.
CAUGUACUUCCCCCGUCGGGAAAUAAGUGUCACUCAAAUGGAUGUAUCUAGACGUAUUUCAGCGCUAGAUACAUCCGUUUGAACGACACUUAUUUCCGGACGGAGGGAGUACAUG